This 241-nucleotide ribosomal RNA is filed under the name uncultured Glomus. Its description in RNAcentral is "partial 18S ribosomal RNA". It matches the Rfam family "Eukaryotic small subunit ribosomal RNA", at positions 569 to 802 of the family's 1831-position model. Lineage: Eukaryota; Fungi; Glomeromycota; Glomeromycetes; Glomerales; Glomeraceae. The record is from RNAcentral.
AGCAGCCGCGGUAAUUCCAGCUCCAAUAGCGUAUAUUAAAGUUGUUGCAGUUAAAAAGCUCGUAGUUGAAUUUCGGGAUUGGCGCAUCGGUCGUGCCUCACGGGGUAUGAACUGGUGCAGUCAAUUUCUCACCUUCUGGAGAACCGCGAUGUCCUUAAUUGGAUGCCGGCGGGGAACCAGGUACCUUUUACUUUAGAAAAAAUUAGAGUUAGUUUAAAGCAGGCUAUUUUUGCUUGAAUAC